AGGACGAACGCUGGCGGCGUGCUUAACACAUGCAAGUCGAGCGAACCUUCGGGUUAGCGGCGAACGGGUGAGUAACACGUGGGCAACCUGCCCCAAGCUCUGGGAUAACCUCCGGAAACGGGGACUAAUACCGGAUAUGACUCUGGAAGACAUCUUCUUGAGUGGAAAGUUUUUCGGCUUGGGAUGGGCCCGCGGCCUAUCAGCUUGUUGGUGGGGUAACGGCCUAUCAAGGCGACGACGGGUAGCCGGCCUGAGAGGGCGACCGGCCACACUGGGACUGAGACACGGCCCAGACUCCUACGGGAGGCAGCAGUGGGGAAUAUUGCGCAAUGGGCGAAAGCCUGACGCAGCGACGCCGCGUGAGGGAUGAAGGCCUUCGGGUUGUAAACCUCUUUCAGCAGGGACGAAGCGAAAGUGACGGUACCUGCAGAAGAAGCACCGGCCAACUACGUGCCAGCAGCCGC
RNAcentral lists this ribosomal RNA (464 nucleotides) under uncultured bacterium. RNAcentral's name for it is "SSU rRNA". It matches the Rfam family "Bacterial small subunit ribosomal RNA", at positions 26 to 518 of the family's 1533-position model. The record is from RNAcentral.